RNAcentral lists this unclassified non-coding RNA (332 nucleotides) under soil metagenome. RNAcentral describes it as "partial contains 5.8S ribosomal RNA, internal transcribed spacer 2, and large subunit ribosomal RNA". The stretch from base 1 to 120 matches the Rfam family "5.8S ribosomal RNA", at positions 35 to 154 of the family's 154-position model. The record is from RNAcentral.
GAUGAAGAACGCAGCGAAAUGCGAUAAGUAGUGUGAAUUGCAGAAUUCAGUGAAUCAUCGAAUCUUUGAACGCACAUUGCGCCCUUUGGUAUUCCUUAGGGCAUGCCUGUUCGAGCGUCAUUUAAACCUUCAAGCUAAGCUUGGUGUUGGGUGACUGUCCGCUUCACUGCGGACUCGCCUCAAAAUUAUUGGCGGCCGGUACAUUGGCUUCGAGCGCAGCAGAAACGCGAACUCGGGCCCGUUGUAUUGGCUCCCAGAAGCUAUCUUCACAAUUUUGACCUCGGAUCAGGUAGGGAUACCCGCUGAACUUAAGCAUAUCAAUAAGCGGAGGA